CCGAGGACAACGCCACGGCCUGCUCUCC
This 28-nucleotide small RNA is filed under the name Bombyx mori (domestic silkworm). RNAcentral describes it as "ovarian small RNA-4808". Lineage: Eukaryota; Metazoa; Arthropoda; Insecta; Lepidoptera; Bombycidae. The record is from RNAcentral.